RNAcentral lists this ribosomal RNA (396 nucleotides) under uncultured bacterium. RNAcentral's name for it is "partial 16S ribosomal RNA". It matches the Rfam family "Bacterial small subunit ribosomal RNA", at positions 523 to 917 of the family's 1533-position model. The record is from RNAcentral.
AUACGUAGGGGGCGAGCGUUGUCCGGAAUGAUUGGGCGUAAAGGGCGCGUAGGCGGCCCGGUAAGUCUGGAGUGAAAGUCCUGUUUUUAAGAUGGGAAUUGCUUUGGAUACUGUCGGGCUUGAGUGCAGGCGAGGUAAGUGGAAUUCCCAGUGUAGCGGUGAAAUGCGUAGAGAUUGGGAGGAACACCAGUGGUGAAGGCGACUUACUGGACUGUAACUGACGCUGAGGCGCGAAAGUGUGGGGAGCAAACAGGAUUAGAUACCCUGGUAGUCCACACUGUAAACGAUGAAUGCUAGGUGUAGGGGGUAUCGACCCCUUCUGUGCCGCAGUCAACACAAUAAGCAUUCCGCCUGGGGAGUACGGCCGCAAGGUUGAAACUCAAAUGAAUUGACGGG